CACGUAGGGCGCAAGCGUUGUCCGGAAUCACUGGGCGUAAAGGGCGUGUAGGCGGAUCGGCAAGUCGGGCGUGAAAUCCCUGGGCUCAACCCAGGAACUGCACUCGAAACUGCCUUUCUUGAGUGCCGGAGAGGAAAGCGGAAUACCUGGUGUAGAGGUGAAAUUCGUAGAUAUCAGGUGGAACACCAGUGGCGAAGGCGGCUUUCUGGACGGUAACUGACGCUGAGACGCGAAAGCGUGGGGAGCAAACAGG
This 253-nucleotide ribosomal RNA is filed under the name uncultured bacterium. Its description in RNAcentral is "partial 16S ribosomal RNA". It matches the Rfam family "Bacterial small subunit ribosomal RNA", at positions 524 to 776 of the family's 1533-position model. The record is from RNAcentral.